GGAUCUUCUGUUUCCAGGAAGUCCUUUCUCUCUUCGGCUCAGUGACCCCUGGCCACAUCCUGCUCCAUCUCACAGGCUCACGUUGACAGUCAAGCUCCCAGUGAGAAGUUGGAGGUUAGGGUUGGAAGGUCCCAAACUGGUGAACAAAAUCAAGCCCUCUGAUGUCUUGAUCUCGCCAUGUUCAAAAAAGGAAAACUGCUUCAAUCAGCUGCCUAUGUAUAGUAAUCAGGAUUUCACAUUAAAACUCUGGAUUUACAACCUCUCUUUAAAAACAAAAAAUCGGAAGAUCUGGCAACAAUUGACUCACAUUCCUCUUUUACAACCAUCAGCUGGAGCUGAGUAGCAGCCUCUAGAUGGGACAAAUACCAUCAGUACACGAAAGGACCCACCCUUCCCUGGUGUCACUGGGGAACAGAGUCAUUGACCCCCAUCCACUGCUGACUAGCUGUGUGACCUUGGGCGGAUUCUUUACCAUCUGAGGCACCAGAGAAGCCCAAGAAUCCUGGAGUGGGUAACCUAUCCCAUCUCCAGGAGAUCUUCCCAACCAGGGUCUCUACAUCCCAGGUGGAUUCUUUACCAGCUGAGCUACCAGGGAGAAGAAGCCUGUGAACAGCAACCAGAGGGUAGACCCUGCUGGCCACAACUAGAGAAAAACCCAUCCAGCAACAAAGACCCAGCACAGCCAAAAA
This is a long non-coding RNA of Bos taurus (domestic cattle), 689 nucleotides long. NCBI's taxonomy places the organism in Eukaryota, Metazoa, Chordata, Mammalia, Artiodactyla, Bovidae. The record is from Ensembl.